UAGGGAAUCUUCCGCAAUGGGCGAAAGCCUGACGGAGCAACGCCGCGUGAGUGAUGAAGGUCUUCGGAUCGUAAAACUCUGUUAUUAGGGAAGAACAAAUGUGUAAGUAACUAUGCACGUCUUGACGGUACCUAAUCAGAAAGCCACGGCUAACUACGUGCCAGCAGCCGCGGUAAUACGUAGGUGGCAAGCGUUAUCCGGAAUUAUUGGGCGUAAAGCGCGCGUAGGCGGUUUUUUAAGUCUGAUGUGAAAGCCCACGGCUCAACCGUGGAGGGUCAUUGGAAACUGGAAAACUUGAGUGCAGAAGAGGAAAGUGGAAUUCCAUGUGUGGCGGUGAGAUGCGCGGAGAUAUGGAGGAACACCAGUGGCGAAGGCGACUUUCUGGUCUGUAACUGACGCUGAUGUGCGAAAGCGUGGGGAUCAAACAGG
This 429-nucleotide ribosomal RNA is filed under the name Actinomycetes bacterium. RNAcentral describes it as "Actinobacteria bacterium partial 16S ribosomal RNA". It matches the Rfam family "Bacterial small subunit ribosomal RNA", at positions 355 to 776 of the family's 1533-position model. The record is from RNAcentral. Lineage: Bacteria; Bacillati; Actinomycetota; Actinomycetes.